RNA transcript from Ipomoea triloba (trilobed morning glory), 2178 nucleotides. It is a transcript of the gene named enhancer of mRNA-decapping protein 4-like, with no coding region annotated. The record is from RefSeq and is a predicted model, not a curated record. The transcript is spliced from 10 exons. Lineage: Eukaryota; Viridiplantae; Streptophyta; Magnoliopsida; Solanales; Convolvulaceae.
UCUGCUCUCCGCCUCUCUCGUCGCUCUCCGCCUCUCUCGUCGCUCUGCAACACCGGCGACUGGUCGCCGCUCACGGGUCAGCAGGAGUCCUGGUUCCUAAUCUCGUUCUCACACUCUGUCGCAGAUUGAUCUCUCUCAGAAUCAAUGGCUUCACCUGGGUCAGCUUCCGGGAAUCCCAAUCCCCAAAACCCCAAUAACCCUAACAAUGGUACCGUUCCUCAAGGGAAGUGUUCGGGUUCCACUCAACUCACUCCCGCCACCAGUCCUAAAGGCCGGUAUUUGAGUGGCGAUCACAUUCUAUACGAUAUAGAUGUGAGAUUGCCUGGUGAGGUGCCGAUUAAAGCCAAUCGGACUGGCAUUUCAAAUCAUUCCCCAUUUCCCGGCCUUGUUUUAGGCCGGAGACUCGCGGUGGCCCAGACUCAUAUUUGCUAUCCGUUCGGACCGGCGAUGUCACUCAUCCGGGUCCUGAAUGUGAAAAGUUUUUUGACAUCAACAAUUCAAGGCCUUGAUGAGAGGGUUACAGACCUGGCCUUCUUUGCAGAGGAUGUUCACCUUUUGGCUAGUGCAAGUGUUAAUGGGCGGGUUUAUAUAUGGAAAAUAACUGAGGAUGAGAACGACAAGCACGAGCCAGAAAUAACAAGCCAGAUAGUCAUUGCUAUUCAAAUUGUGGGAGAAGGAGAAUCUUUUCACCCACGAGUCUGUUGGCAUUGCGAAAAACAGGAAAUUCUUAUUGUUGGGAUUGGAAAAAGAGUUCUGAAAAUUGAUACCACACACAUUGGAAAAGGUGAAGUAUUUACAGCGAAAAGACCGCUGAGGUGUCCAGUUGACUGCUUGGUUGAAGGUGUCCAGCUUGUUGGUACUCAUGAUGGAGAAGUGACUGAUUUAUCGAUGUCUCAGUUGAAGACCACCACUCUUCUUGUAUCUGCUUCAGUAGAUGGCAUGAUAAAGAUUUGGGAGGAUCUCAAAUCAACCCCAAUUGCUGUACUGAGGCCACAUGAUGGCCAGCCUGUAAAUUCUGUUACAUUUUUUCGUCCUCCAGACAGCCCUAAGCACAUCGUACUAAUUACUGGGGGCCCACUUAAUCGAGAAGUGAAGAUAUGGUCAUCAGCAAGUGAAGAAGGCUGGUUGGUUCCAAGUGAUGCUGAGCCAUGGCACUGUACACAGACAUUAGAGCUGAAGAGUUCAGCUGAAACUCAAGUUGAAGACGCAUUUUUUAAUCAAGUUGUGGCUUUUCCACGAGCUGGUUUACUCUUAUUAUCAAAUGCCAAAAAGAAUUCUAUAUAUGUAGUGCACCUAGAAUAUGGUCCUAACCCGGCAGCCACAAGGAUGAAUUACAUUGCUGAAUUUACUGUUACUAUGCCAAUACUUAGUUUCACUGGGACAAGGGACCUACUGCCAUGUGAACAUGUAGUUCAGGUGUAUUGUGUUGAAACACAGGCUAUUCACAAGUAUGCUCUGGACUUAUCACAGUGUUUACCUCCUCCAUUGGACAAUGUUGUGCUUCAGAGGUCAGAAUCUAGUACUGAACAAGAAUUGAACACAUAUGUUGAUGCUUUGUGGGUUCGUGCUCUUCAAGACGAAACUGCAAAGCAGGAAAAGUUAUUACGUGAGGACUUGCCAGAGCGGGUAAAAGAUUUAGUGAAGAAGGAACUUAGUGCCUUUGUAGAGGUGAUAACACCCGUUAUAGAGAAAACAGUGUCCAAAGCUAUUUCAGAAGCCUUUCAGAAACAGAAGGGUGUUGGUGAAAACAAUCAAGUCUAAACUUCCAAAUUUUGGCAAGCAAGCUCUUUAGGGCAGCAUGACAAAUUUCCAUGAUCUGCACAGAGGAGGGGAGGGGGAUAAUUUUAAUGCGGGACACUUUGUUAUCAUGCAUAAUAGUGAUAAUACUCUUUGAUUCAUGUUUAGGUCACAUUGCAUGUGAUCUGAUAAUCAUUUAACUGAAAUUGCAGGAAUAACAGCGAUGGAAGAUCAAAGCAAAGUUUAUGGGUGCAUUUGCCGACGUUUCCGGAGAGUCUCAAAGUAGAAAUGGGAGGAGUUUCAAAGUUCGGACAGCAGAUUGUCUUGUUCGCAGGCAAUUGUGAAGAAUUUCUUUGCAAGUGUGGUCUUUUUUAAAGCCUGUUUGGUCUUUUUUAGACUUGGUCAUUUUUAUAACAAGUUUGGUCAUUUUUUAGACUGUCA